This 398-nucleotide ribosomal RNA is filed under the name uncultured bacterium. Its description in RNAcentral is "bacterial SSU rRNA". It matches the Rfam family "Bacterial small subunit ribosomal RNA", at positions 358 to 773 of the family's 1533-position model. The record is from RNAcentral.
GGAAUCUUAGACAAUGGGCGCAAGCCUGAUCUAGCCAUGCCGCGUGAGCGAUGACGGCCUUAGGGUUGUAAAGCCCUUUCACCGGGGAAGAUAAUGACGGCACCCGGAGAAGAAGCCCCGGCUACCUCCGUGCCAGCAGCCGCGGUAAGACGGAGGGGGCUAGCGUUGUUCGGAAUUACUGGGCGUAAAGCGCGAGUAGGCGGGCUGUUAAGUCGGGGGUGAAAUCCCGGGGCUCAACCCCGGAACUGCCUUCGAUACUGGCAGCCUGGAGUCCGAGAGAGGUGAGUGGAAUUCCGAGUGUAGAGGUGAAAUUCGUAGAUAUUCGGAGGAACACCAGUGGCGAAGGCGGCUCACUGGCUCGGUACUGACGCUGAGGUGCGAAAGCGUGGGGAGCAAAC